This 449-nucleotide ribosomal RNA is filed under the name uncultured bacterium. Its description in RNAcentral is "partial 16S ribosomal RNA". It matches the Rfam family "Bacterial small subunit ribosomal RNA", at positions 29 to 523 of the family's 1533-position model. The record is from RNAcentral.
AACGAACGCUGGCGGCAUGCCUAACACAUGCAAGUCGAACGAGAUCUUCGGGUCUAGUGGCGCACGGGUGCGUAACGCGUGGGAAUCUGCCCUUUGGUUCGGAAUAACAGUUGGAAACGACUGCUAAUACCGGAUGAUGACGAAAGUCCAAAGAUUUAUCGCCAGAGGAUGAGCCCGCGUAGGAUUAGCUAGUUGGUGUGGUAAAGGCGCACCAGGGCGACGAUCCUUAGCUGGUCUGAGAGGAUGAUCAGCCACACUGGGACUGAGACACGGCCCAGACUCCUACGGGAGGCAGCAGUGGGGAAUAUUGGACAAUGGGCGAAAGCCUGAUCCAGCAAUGCCGCGUGAGUGAUGAAGGCCUUAGGGUUGUAAAGCUCUUUUACCCGGGAUGAUAAUGACAGUACCGGGAGAAUAAGCUCCGGCUAACUCCGUGCCAGCAGCCGCUGUAA